CUUGUCCAUUAGAUAAGGGAUCAUAUAUUCCUCCAUUCUAGAUAUCAUAUGGACUGAGACAUGGAUUAUAAUCAUUCUCUCUGUCCAUUUGUUGUUUCCCGAUUUCCGAUUCAUGAUGACUGACUGAUUGAACAAAUCAAAUCAGUCCUGGCUUGGCCAAGCACUCACAUGUAUCAUCAUUAAAUCAUCGAGGGGCCCACAGAUAUCGCUUUUAUCCUGAAGGUAAAAGGAAUGGAUAAACUUCGACUCAUAUGGCUUGUUCUGCUACUUGUUGAAUCAUACACAAAGGCACGUUUUAUAACAUCGAGUUACCAAUGCGUUUUCGUGCAAUCAAUGUACUAUCAACUCAUAGUAACAACUCAUAUCUCUAGGUUUGAAGAAUAUAAGAUAUUAUCGUCUCAUGAUCACUCGUGAUAAAAUCCAUGAAGUGAUUCAAAUGAGCGCGGGUUGAAUCCAAUACUCAGAACUUAUGAGCACUCAUGAGUGUUGUAGCACAACUUUGUCCACCAACUUGGACCUCUACAAGCCAACCCAUGACAGUCUUGAUUCAUAUCUACUUCCAACAUAUGACCGACUGUGGAUGGGUUUGAAUAACUUAGUCAUUCCGGAAGAAUAACCUAGUUAUUAUGGAAGUCAAAACAUGCAAAGUGAAACACAAGAAUAAAUGAAUCUAAUAUGGUAUCAAAGCCUAUGAAUAUAAAUAAAACACUUUCUAUUUAUCACCAUACUGAUUACUCAUUAUUCAUUGUUUCGGUUUCAUAAACUUUAUACUUGAAUUAAAACACUAGGUGUCCCAUGCUCCAAGCAUGUACACUAUGUUUUCUAAACAAUAGCUUUGCCAUACACCAAGUAUGCACUAUAUGUUUGUCUAUGAUCCUUACUUUUGUGAAAUAAACCAAUUGACCAAACUUUCAAUGAUUCCAAUUUCACACUCCCAAAUCGAAAUUUGUUAGAUUUUAAACUUAAAUUCAUUACCCUCUUGCAAUGAAUGUGUACAAAGUCACAAAGACUUGUCAACAACCAUUACAGGGUAUUCCAAUGAAGACCUACUCCAUGGACACAAAGCCUUAUGUUCAAAGUAUGCAUUGAUUUGAACAUGCUUCUUGCAUUAAGUUUCUUUAACCUUACACAGAUUGCUUCCACCUAUGAAGACAACUCUAUAUUCUCAUUUUGACUAGCACUUCUGAACAAGAGUUGCCUCUUUUUAGACUAUGUCAAUAUGGUCCUUCCAAUAUUAACAGUAUACUUCCAACUGUCCUUAAGAAACUCAUAUUUGGUAAACCUUAGAUUGUCCUCGACAAUUGCUUAAUCACUUUAGUCAUAUCCGAUGCUAGACAUUGUUCCCCUUAAUGCCCUAAGGCAUUUGGAAAAUUCAGAAAGGAUAAAUAUUAUAGCACAUGGAAUCGAUCUUGUACCCAAAGUAAAUGGGACACGAUUCAUGAUGUUUCACAUAAAGACAUGGUUCUAGACCAGUCUUUUUACAUAAUAAUUUUUGUUUGCCAUAUUCUCAAAAUUUGAAAAGGGAUGCCGUAAUCAUAAUCGAAUUUUGAGAACGCAAUAUAUAUAAUUUUCUUAAGUUGAACCAAUCCAACAUGAAAUUCAUAUAUAUAUANGCAUGAUGGUAUGCAACCCAAAUGGACCAUGCCGGGUCGGUCAAGUACAUACCAAAUAUAGUUAUGGACUUAGACAUUAAUCCAACAGUCUCCCACUUGGAUAAGUCUAAAACUAUUAUUCAGUAUGACUUCAAAACCUAAGUGGCAAUCAUAGCUCUUAAAGCCGCUGUCGAAAUCUGAUCUUUUCAAUGAACUUGUCCAUUAGAUAAGGGAUCAUAUAUGCCUCCAUUCUAGAUAUCAUAUAGACUGAGACAUGGAUUAAAAUCAUUCUCUCUGUCCAUUUGUUGUUUCCCGAUUUCCGAUUUAUGACGACUGACUAAUUGAACAAAUCAAAUCAGUCCUGGCCCGGCCGAGCACUUCCAUUUGUCAUCAUCAAAUCAUCGAGGGGCCCACAGAUAUCGCUUUUAUCCCGAAGGUAAAAGGAAUGGAUAAACUUCGACUCAUAUGGCUUGUUCUACUACUUGUUGAAUCAUAC
This 2088-nucleotide long non-coding RNA is filed under the name Lactuca sativa (garden lettuce). RNAcentral's name for it is "long non-coding RNA (LSAT_LNC002889)". Lineage: Eukaryota; Viridiplantae; Streptophyta; Magnoliopsida; Asterales; Asteraceae. The record is from RNAcentral.